AUUGAACGCUGGCGGCAUGCUUUACACAUGCAAGUCGAACGGCAGCGCGGGCUUCGGCCUGGCGGCGAGUGGCGAACGGGUGAGUAAUGCAUCGGAACGUGCCCAGUAGUGGGGGAUAGCCCGGCGAAAGCCGGAUUAAUACCGCAUACGACCUGAGGGUGAAAGCGGGGGACCGAAAGGCCUCGCGCUAUUGGAGCGGCCGAUGUCGGAUUAGCUAGUUGGUGGGGUAAAGGCUUACCAAGGCGACGAUCCGUAGCUGGUCUGAGAGGACGACCAGCCACACUGGGACUGGAACACGGCCCAGGCGCCUACGGGAGGCAGCAGUGGGGAAUUUUGGACAAAGGGGGCAACCCUGGUACAGCCAUGCCGCGUGCGAGGAGAAGGCCUUCGGGUUGUGAACCGCUUUUGUUCGGGAAGAAAUCCUCUGGGCUAAUACCCCGGGGGAAUGACGGUACCGGAUAAAUAAGCACCGGCUAACUACGUG
RNAcentral lists this ribosomal RNA (484 nucleotides) under uncultured bacterium. RNAcentral describes it as "partial 16S ribosomal RNA". It matches the Rfam family "Bacterial small subunit ribosomal RNA", at positions 28 to 507 of the family's 1533-position model. The record is from RNAcentral.